Molecule: unclassified non-coding RNA, 236 nt
Filed under: Hevea brasiliensis (rubber tree)
Lineage: Eukaryota; Viridiplantae; Streptophyta; Magnoliopsida; Malpighiales; Euphorbiaceae
Source: RNAcentral
GUACUUAGUAGUCCAUAGCUGUAACAUGUUUUUACUAAGUUUGAACUAGUUUUAGGUUGUGCAAUCAAUCUAUUAUAUCCUUGUAGUUUUUGGGUUAUAUAAUCUUCGUUUGGGUUUUUGGUUUGUGUGGAUUUGAGGUUUCAAUUUAAAUAUGUUUGGAUCUUAUAUAUGUUUUCAAUAUAUGAUUGUGUGAUUUUUUAUCACUCUGUAUACUAACUGCGUAUGUAGAAGUUUGC